AGAGACGCUGGCGGCGUGCCUAAUACAUGCAUGUCGAGCGAAUGGAUUAAGAGCUUGCUCUUAUGAAGUUAGCGGCGGACGGGUGAGUAACACGUGGGUAACCUGCCCAUAAGACUGGGAUAACUCCGGGAAACCGGGGCUAAUACCGGAUAACAUUUUGAACCGCAUGGUUCGAAAUUGAAAGGCGGCUUCGGCUGUCACUUAUGGAUGGACCCGCGUCGCAUUAGCUAGUUGGUGAGGUAACGGCUCACCAAGGCAACGAUGCGUAGCCGACCUGAGAGGGUGAUCGGCCACACUGGGACUGAGACACGGCCCAGACUCCUACGGGAGGCAGCAGUAGGGAAUCUUCCGCAAUGGACGAAAGUCUGACGGAGCAACGCCGCGUGAGUGAUGAAGGCUUUCGGGUCGUAAAACUCUGUUGUUAGGGAAGAACAAGUGCUAGUUGAAUAAGCUGGCACCUUGACGGUACCUAACCAGAAAGCCACGGCUAACUACGUGCCAGCAGCCGCGGUAAUACGUAGUGGCAAGCGUUAUCCGGAAUUAUUGGGCGUAAGCGCGCGCAGGUGGUUUCUUAAGUCUGAUGUGAAAGCCCACGGCUCAACCGUGGAGGGUCAUUGGGAAACUGGGGGACUUGACUGCAGAAAAGGAAGUGGAAUUCCUGUGUAGCGGUGAAAGGCG
This 678-nucleotide ribosomal RNA is filed under the name Bacillus cereus. RNAcentral describes it as "bacterial SSU rRNA". It matches the Rfam family "Bacterial small subunit ribosomal RNA", at positions 29 to 690 of the family's 1533-position model. The record is from RNAcentral. Lineage: Bacteria; Bacillati; Bacillota; Bacilli; Caryophanales; Bacillaceae.